Molecule: ribosomal RNA, 497 nt
Filed under: uncultured bacterium
Lineage: Bacteria
Description: partial 16S ribosomal RNA
Rfam family: Bacterial small subunit ribosomal RNA
Source: RNAcentral
GAUAAACGCUGGCGGCGUGCCUAAUACAUGCAAGUCGAGCGAACAGACGAGGAGCUUGCUCCUCUGAUGUUAGCGGCGGACGGGUGAGUAACACGUGGAUAACCUACCUAUAAGACUGGGAUAACUUCGGGAAACCGGAGCUAAUACCGGAUAACAUGUUGAACCGCAUGGUUCAACAGUGAAAGACGGUCUUGCUGUCACUUAUAGAUGGAUCCGCGCCGCAUUAGCUAGUUGGUAAGGUAACGGCUUACCAAGGCAACGAUGCGUAGCCGACCUGAGAGGGUGAUCGGCCACACUGGAACUGAGACACGGUCCAGACUCCUACGGGAGGCGGCAGUAGGGAAUCUUCCGCAAUGGGCGAAAGCCUGACGGAGCAACGCCGCGUGAGUGAAGAAGGUCUUCGGAUCGUAAAACUCUGUUAUUAGGGAAGAACAAAUGUGUAAGUAACUAUGCACGUCUUGACGGUACCUAAUCAGAAAGCCACGGCUAACUACGUG